UAACAGUUAGAAAUGACUGCUAAUACCGCAUAAGCGCACAGGACCGCAUGGUCCGGUGUGAAAAACUCCGGUGGUAUGGGAUGGAUCCGCGUCUGAUUAGCUGGUUGGUGAGGUAACGGCCCACCAAGGCGACGAUCAGUAGCCGACCUGAGAGGGUGGCCGGCCACAUUGGGACUGAGACACGGCCCAAACUCCUACGGGAGGCAGCAGUGGGGAAUAUUGCACAAUGGGGGAAACCCUGAUGCAGCAACGCCGCGUGAGUGAAGAAGUAUUUCGGUAUGUAAAGCUCUAUCAGCAGGGAAGAAGAAAGACGGUACCUGACUAAGAAGCCCCGGCUAACUACGUGCCAGCAGCCGCGGUAAUACGUAGGGGGCAAGCGUUAUCCGGAUUUACUGGGUGUAAAGGGAGCGUAGACGGCUGUGCAAGUCUGAAGUGAAAGCCCGUGGCUCAACCGCGGAACUGCUUUGGAAACUGUAUAGCUUGAGUACUGGAGAGGCAGGCGGAAUUCCUAGUGUAGCGGUGAAAUGCGUAGAUAUUAGGAGGAACACCAGUGGCGAAGGCGGCCUGCUGGACAGAAACUGACGUUGAGGCUCGAAAGCGUGGGGAGCAAACAGGAUUAGAUACCCUGGUAGUCCACGCGGUAAACGAUGAAUGCUAGUGU
This 661-nucleotide ribosomal RNA is filed under the name uncultured bacterium. Its description in RNAcentral is "bacterial SSU rRNA". It matches the Rfam family "Bacterial small subunit ribosomal RNA", at positions 144 to 822 of the family's 1533-position model. The record is from RNAcentral.